RNAcentral lists this ribosomal RNA (253 nucleotides) under uncultured bacterium. RNAcentral's name for it is "partial 16S ribosomal RNA". It matches the Rfam family "Bacterial small subunit ribosomal RNA", at positions 524 to 776 of the family's 1533-position model. The record is from RNAcentral.
UACGGAGGAGGCAAGCGUUAUCCGGAAUUAUUGGGCGUAAAGCGUCCGUAGGUGGUAAUUCAAGUCUGCUGUUAAAGCGUGAGGCUUAACCUCAUAAAGGCAGUGGAAACUGAAUUGCUAGAGAACAGAAGGGGCAACGGGAAUUCCUAGUGUAGCGGUGAAAUGCGUAGAGAUUAGGAAGAACACCAAUGGCGAAAGCACGUUGCUAGGCUGAUUCUGACACUGAGGGACGAAAGCUAGGGGAGCGAAAGGG